UCGGACCAAUCGGGCGCCGGUAGGCUGAUCGAGGCGUUCGGUGAGGGAACCCGGUGGGAAUCCGGGACUGGCGCGCAACGGUGACGGCCGCGGGUGUCAUGACAUCCGCCGGGCCGGAGUCCGACUACUCGCCGAGUGCUGGUUUCCGAU
Molecule: non-coding RNA, 150 nt
Filed under: Gordonia bronchialis
Lineage: Bacteria; Bacillati; Actinomycetota; Actinomycetes; Mycobacteriales; Gordoniaceae
Source: RNAcentral